AGAGUUUGAUCAUGGCUCAGGACGAACGCUGGCGGCGUGCCUAAUACAUGCAAGUCGAGCGAGCAGAACCAGCAGAUUUACUUCGGUAAUGACGCUGGGGACGCGAGCGGCGGAUGGGUGAGUAACACGUGGGGAACCUGCCCCAUAGUCUGGGAUACCACUUGGAAACAGGUGCUAAUACCGGAUAAGAAAGCAGAUCGCAUGAUCAGCUUAUAAAAGGCGGCGUAAGCUGUCGCUAUGGGAUGGCCCCGCGGUGCAUUAGCUAGUUGGUAAGGUAACGGCUUACCAAGGCGAUGAUGCAUAGCCGAGUUGAGAGACUGAUCGGCCACAUUGGGACUGAGACACGGCCCAAACUCCUACGGGAGGCAGCAGUAGGGAAUCUUCCACAAUGGACGCAAGUCUGAUGGAGCAACGCCGCGUGAGUGAAGAAGGUUUUCGGAUCGUAAAGCUCUGUUGUUGGUGAAGAAGGAUAGAGGUAGUAACUGGCCUUUAUUUGACGGUAAUCAACCAGAAAGUCACGGCUAACUACGUGCCAGCAGCCGCGGUAAUACGUAGGUGGCAAGCGUUGUCCGGAUUUAUUGGGCGUAAAGCGAGCGCAGGCGGAAAAAUAAGUCUGAUGUGAAAGCCCUCGGCUUAACCGAGGAACUGCAUCGGAAACUGUUUUUCUUGAGUGCAGAAGAGGAGAGUGGAACUCCAUGUGUAGCGGUGGAAUGCGUAGAUAUAUGGAAGAACACCAGUGGCGAAGGCGGCUCUCUGGUCUGCAACUGACGCUGAGGCUCGAAAGCAUGGGUAGCGAACAGGAUUAGAUACCCUGGUAGUCC
RNAcentral lists this ribosomal RNA (821 nucleotides) under uncultured bacterium. RNAcentral's name for it is "bacterial SSU rRNA". It matches the Rfam family "Bacterial small subunit ribosomal RNA", at positions 8 to 796 of the family's 1533-position model. The record is from RNAcentral.